GUGUUCAGUUUGGUAGCACAUGUACUGAAAUUGGAACAAUGCAGAGAAGAUUAGCACGGCCUCUUUGCAAGGAUGACAAAUUCAUGAAACAUUCAUUCUCGUUUUUU
Molecule: small nuclear RNA, 107 nt
Organism: Grammomys surdaster
Lineage: Eukaryota; Metazoa; Chordata; Mammalia; Rodentia; Muridae
Source: RefSeq, a predicted model, not a curated record